AGGCUAUGAAUACUCCGACAAGAAGUCCAAGUCAAAGGGGAAGGACGUGAACGUGGUGGAAUUUGCUGUGGCCACAGGGGAUCAGGCUCUUUACAGGAGUGAGAACAUCCAACUCGAUUACAAAAACAACAUCCUCAAGGAGAGGGCCGAGCUGGUCCACAGCCCCCCACCCCCCAAGAACAUCGACUUGGACAAAGAAUUCAGGAAGGAGCACUGCAGAUAAGGUGAUCCUGGGCUCCUGGCUGGGCCAGCAGCUCUGCCAACUCCUGUCUGUCCACCUCAGAGGACUCCUGACCCCAUGCCUGGCCCCGCUUCCAGCGGCUGGUCCCGCUGUCCUGGAAUUUGGCUCGGACUCGUGCCGAAGGAGGCUGCUUCCAGACCCCUCUCCUCACGCCCAAGAGUGGGCUCCUUGGGACUCUGCCAGGGCUGCAGCCAUGCCCCCUGUGGCCGCCCUUGGCCCAUGCCCUUCCCUCCUGGCACAGCCUAGACCCCACUGAUGUGCACCAAAUCCCCAGGCUCUCCUGGCCUCUGCCUGCAGAGUUGGGGAAGGGCAGGAAGGCACUCUUGGAGGGGGUUUGGUGGGGAUUCCUGGAGCUGGCGUCAGCCGCAGGGCUGGCACUCCCACCCCUUCCUUUACCAGCCAGGCUGCCCUGCCGAGGGUUCUGCAUGGGAUGAGGGCUGUGCACCCCGGGUGGUGUUCCUCUGCACUGUGUCCAGCCACCUGGGGCUGCCCUGGGGCCCCGUCUCUGCCUCCCACCCUGCCCCAGCCCUGUUUCCAUCAGGCUGCCUUGACAGUCACUGGGCUCCACGUGACUUUUUUCUUUUUUGCUUUUUAGGGCCACACCCACAGCAUAUGGAGGUUCUCAGGCGAGGGGUCUGAUUGGAGCUACAGCUGCUGGCCUGCACCACAGCCCCAGCAACUCGGGAUCCCAGCCGCGUCUGCAACCUAUACCACGCCAGAUCCUUAAUCCACUGAGCAAGGCCUGGGACCGAACCUGUGUCCUCAUGGAUGCUAGUUGGAUUUGCUUCCGCUCUGCCAGAAUGGGAACGCCUUUGUGUGACUUUUGACCCUGACCCUCUUCCCUUAAGCCCCUCCCUGGGCCAGAGUCCGGGGAUGAGGCCUCAUCUGACUUCUUUUUUUGGCUGCGGACAGGAGGGAGUGAGGGUGGCUUGGGAGUGGUGCCGCUCCUGCCUCCCACGUCUGCUCAUCCUAGGGAACUGCCACCAUCACAAUAAAGACCACAUCUGACUU
This 1252-nucleotide long non-coding RNA is filed under the name Sus scrofa (pig). Its description in RNAcentral is "lncRNA (ENSSSCG00005003303.1)". The record is from RNAcentral. Lineage: Eukaryota; Metazoa; Chordata; Mammalia; Artiodactyla; Suidae.